AUGGAUAGCGAUUCUCCAGAACCUACAAGCUGAAGAUGUUGAAUGGAGGGCCCCAUGGAUGAUCCCUGAUAAAAUCUUAUAUCGGUGUGGUGACUUUAACUGGGUCCCUCUACUUGGGAUAUGGGGAGCCGUUGGAUACACUCCACUACUCGUGUUGAGACAUAUUGAUCAAGGCAAUUCAUACCAGCGACGCAAGGGUUGGUUCAGUGCGAGUUCCCAUACAAGGGGAUAAUUAUAAGAAGAGAAUUCGUGAGAUAUCGAAUGUUUGGAAACAAACAAGUAAGAUGAAAGGAUUCACUGCAGGUCCAAUGAUGACCCCCGAAUACGACUGGUGGUGGGGUAAAAGAAUCAACGACAACAUCCCAAUGCCAAAUCAAGAAAAUGCUCGACCGAUAGAGGAACAUUUAUAAACAGUCCCGUUUGAGUUAGAGAUCAUCAAGCAAGACUUUGAGAAAAUGAGCUCGAAUUGGGAAAAAAGAUAGAGUAGUUAGAAGAGGAGAAGAUGAAGUUGGGAUUAGAUGUCGAUAUCCACAAGCUAGAGGCCGAGAUAUUAAGGAAAGGAAAGAACAAGGUCGAGGAACAUUUAGAUAGUCUGAAAACUGAUUAUAAAAAGCUGCGUAUGUCAAUAAGAACUACCGAUUUGGGUAAAACGUCAAAGUAGUGGCGUCAAGAAAUUAAAGAAGAAAAGACUAGAGCCGAUCAUUGGGAGAAGAAGUUUCAAGAUGUCCGAGUGCGAGAAGACGCUUUGAAAAAUAGUUUGUUGGAAAGUCAAAGCGAAAAAGAGAGGUUACAAGCUCGGGUGGCUGAAUUAGAAAAAUCACUACAUCGGCAUCGUAGCCGUAACUGUGUAGUUAAGCUGAAGGCCAGUCUAGGCAAGAUCGAUGAGUAAGGAAAAUCGAAGAACUCGAGACUACACUACAAGAUAGUAAAACUCGAGUGAAGCUCCUUGAGGCAAACAAUGAACAUUGCAAAGAACAACUUCACCGCUCUCAAGAUCAUAUCAGAAAUAGAGAUUAUGUCAUGAACGAAGCUGUGGCUCAAGUUCGAGAGGUGGCCGAUCAUUUACAAACCUUGGCAGUUCAGGCUGAUGUAUUAAGCUUAAAGUAAGAAUCAGAAUCAGAUCGAAGCCAGGACUUAGCUCGGCUUCUUAGGAAGGUUAAGGCUUUGGGCAUUAAGGCAAGGUUGUAUAUGUAAUCAUUCGUUCUAUGUAAAGAGAUUUUUCUUCUAGUAAAAUUGUUCUAAUGAAAUUGAAUCUGAAUCAACGCAUUUUUUUUUGCAUUCAUUUCAUUCAUUUGCAUUACAUUUCAUGAUAUGCAUUAAAUUUCAUGAAAAGACCCUAAUUAAACCAAAUUAUUUCAAUUAAUCUGGAAACCAAAAAGAGUCAACCAACUGAAUACCGCUACAAUACCCGUCACAAAACUAAAGCAAUGGAUCAGAGACUAGAAAGACUAGAACAAAUGCAAAGGGAUAUGCAAGAGCAAUUGCAAGCGCAGAUGCAAGAGCAGUUAGCUAAAAUACAACAAGAUAUGAGGGAACAAAUGCAAGAGUCCCAAAAUAAUAUAAUGAGCCAAUUGGCGCAGUUGCUGGUCAGAGAACAUGAAAAAGGGAAGAGUACUGCGAACGAAAAUGAGGAUCCUAUCUACCCCCCGGGCUUUACUCUAAUCAACGUCCAAACGCCACCAGAAGUAUACCCACGAGGGGCACCCGUUACUAUCAGGCCUCAACAGUAUCAAACCGAUACUUCAGCACCAAUGAACUAUUAAACAGGCUCGGGUUUUAAUCCUGGGGAUAACCCAACCAAUCCCGUUGUUCCUGAUCUCGAUAAUGUAGCAAAGGUGGAGAAAAUAAUAGUAGAAUUACCAAAACAACUGGAUAAUCGAUACAGAUGGUUGGAAAAAAAAACUCAAAGCAAUGGAGAACGCUGAUUAUGGAAUGGACGCCAAGGACUUAAAUUUAGUCCCAGAUUGAGUACUCCCUUCUAAGUUCAAAACCCCAGAUUUUGAAAAAUGCAAUAGAACUAGCUAUCCAGAAGCUCACAUUACCAUGUUCUGUCGAAGGGUGACAGGGUACGCUCAAAUCCAUUCAUGGAAAGACUUGGCACAAGUUUUCAUGAAGCAAUACGGCCACGUGACAGACAUAGCACCCGACCGAAUCACGUUACAAAACAUGGAGAAGAAACAAAAUAAGAGCUUCGGGUGAUUAAAGGAUCAAAAGAAUGAGAAGUUUACGCCUCAGAAGAGCGAACAACAGAAGGGAUCCAAAGAAUUAAUCACCUUGUGGUGAUCAUUUCGCGACUAAGGAAAAAUGAAGCAGGAAUGCAAAUGGCGUCGAGAAUCAUAAUUCAGAAACCCGUAUCCUUUCGCUAUAAGGAUAGCAAAAGGGUUCUCUGGAACUACGACUGCAACGUGACAAUCCUGGGAGAGAAGAAUCCAGCUAGUGCAUCAGGAGAGAGCCAAGAUGUAGGUUUCUAUACAUGCAGUGGGAGACGUUAUGAUCCUGCGGGUACAAGAAUCAAAAUUGUUAAAGAAAAGGCCCCGAUAGUCGAACAAAAGAAAGAGAAGACGGUCAGGUCAAAUCACCAAUUAACGAGCCAAUGACUGAAAAAGAGGGUAGAGAAUUCUUGAAAUUAUUAAAACACAGCGAAUACAGUGUUGUAGAAUAGCUACAUAAGCAGCCAGCUCGUAUCUCAGUGCUAGCAUUGCUUUUGAGCUCGAAGACACAUCGGAGUGCGUUAAUGAAAAUGCUAAACGAAACCUAUGUCACGGACGACAUAUCUGUUAACAAACUGGACCGUCUGGUCAACAACAUCAGCACCAAUAAUUUUAUUUUCUUUAAUGAUGAUGAAAUACCACCAGGAGGUAUGGGAUCUACAAAUGCCCUGUACAUCACCACCCAUUGCAAAGGGUACACAUUGCUGGGGUAUUGAUCGAUAAUGGAUCGGCACUAAACGUCCUACUCCUAUCCAUACUGAAUAGGUUGCCAGUGGAUAGUUCCCAUAUGAAGACAUGCUAAAAUGUAGUGAGGGCAUUUGACGGCACCAAAAGAAAAGUAAUGGGAAGGAUUGAAAUACCACUUUUAAUCGGUCCAAGUACGUACAAGGUAGAUUUCUUGGUGAUGGACAUCAAACCCUCUUACAAUUGCUUAUUGAGAAGGCCAUGGAUUCACUUAGCGGGGGCAGUUCUGUCAUCGUAACAUCAAAAGCUCAAAUUUAUAACGGAAGGCCGAUUGGUGACCAUAAACGCGGAAGAGGAUAUCAUUGCAUCCGUUACCAGCGGUGCACCAUAUGUGGGGACAGAUGAUGAAGCCAUAGAAUGUUCUUUUCAAUUAUUAGAAUUUAUAAAUACGACCUUCAUUGCCGAAGGAAAUAAGGUCCCGACACCUAAAAUCUCUGAGACUACAAUGAUGGGCUUACAAUUGACGGUUGGGAAAGGAGCUUUACCCAGGAAGGGGUCUAGAAGAAGCCUACAAGGAAGGAUCAAGGCACCCAUACUCAUGGACAAAUGAGACCGCUUUGACUUAAGAUUCAAGCCGGAUGUAAAUUAAAAGAAAAAGGAUCAAGAGAAGAAACAAGAAAAUAUUAAAGCGCAUUUAAGCGAGGAGGAGGUUAAAUGGGAACCAAUGACCUUUUCUCACAUAUCUAGAACAUUCGUGUCGGGAGGGACUAUUUACUCUGAAGAAAGAUCGCUAGGGAAAGGGUCUUUCGAAGAAAUGUUGGAAAACUUGAGCAUUAACGCCAUAUCUGAAGAAGAAACAAGAGAAGAUGAUCAAUUAGACAUUUGCCCAUACAUGCAUGAGAGCGUUUUGAACAAUUGGACCGCGAAGGAGAUCCCUGUAACUUUUAAAAUUAAUUCAGAGUAAUGUCCAAAACAAGCUUAUUGCUCUAAGCCUAGGGGCAAUCAGAAUCCUUUUGUGAAAUAGGCUCUUAUCCAAUAUCGUUAUUUCAAUAAAAAAAUACAUCUUUGCGUAUCAUCUUGAGCAAAUAUUCUUUUAUUCUUUCCAUUUCAUUCAUAAUCAUACCACCAACAAAUAUUCUUAGAUUCAUUUGUUCUUUGGACUUCUCUUCAUCCCUAUAACAUGUCUCCAGAUAUCAAUGAUAUGAGUAAUGCUGCUACUGGCUCAGAGUCUCCUUUUGAGCAAUAUAUAUGUACAGAGGAUUCUCGAGAUUUUGAAGAUGACCAAAACUGUAACCUAUCUCCUGAUUUGUUAAAGAUGGUAGAAUAAGAUGAGAAAACAAUCCUACCUUACAAGGAGUCAGCAGAAAUUGUAAGCUUAGGAGAAUGAAAAGAGGUAAAGAUUGGAGCUUGUAUCGCCACAAAGACAAAGCGAGACCUCAUCGAGUUACUACAAGAAUUCAAUGAUGUCUUUGCAUGGUCAUAUCAAGACAUGCUCGGGUUGAAUACUGAUAUGCUUAUUCCAAGCUUUCGACCAAUUUUGGAACCCCGCCUACAGUUGCUUCACUUUUGGGGGAGUUGAUUUGGUACCUACCGUGGAAGAGUAUAUGUCCUUACUAAGCUGUUCAAUAGUUAAAGUCGACAAGGUCUAUUCCAGAGCUGCUAACGUCCCGCCCUUUGUAAAGAGACUGAUGAAUAUCACGGGGAUGAGCAAGCAAUGGAUUGCAGCCUGGAUUAAGCAAAAGGGAGACGGAAGUUGUAUUCUUUGAAAGAACUUAAGGGAUCUAAUUCUAGCAUAUCCGGAUAUGAAAAAGAGGGUUAAUGUUUUCGCUUUGAGCAUCUACGGUUAGGUCACCUUUCCCAAUACAUUAGGACACGUAGAUGAAGCAAUCUCAGACCUGUUUGUUCAACUUAAUAAAGGGGUCACGCUUGUCCCUGCGAUCUUGGUCGAAACGUUUAGAUCAUUGAAUGCUUUUCGGAGAGCGGGUGAAGGUAGAUUUAUAGGAUGUGCGUAACUUUUUCUAUCGUGGUUCCAUAGCCACUUUUGGAGGGUAGAAGAGGUCUCAUAUCGAGUUUUUUUCUGAAAACUACUCUCCAUCUAAAGAAUUAGUGGCUAUACCAAGACGGGAUAAUCUUUCCAAAGAGAAAUGGAUAGCGAUUCUCCAGAACCUACAAGCUGAAGAUGUUGAAUGGAGGGCCCCAUGGAUGAUCCCUGAUAAAAUCUUAUAUCGGUGUGGUGACUUUAACUGGGUCCCUCUACUUGGGAUAUGGGGAGCCGUUGGAUACACUCCACUACUCGUGUUGAGACAUAUUGAUCAAGGCAAUUCAUACCAGCGACGCAAGGGUUGGUUCAG
This 5245-nucleotide long non-coding RNA is filed under the name Gossypium barbadense (sea-island cotton). Its description in RNAcentral is "long non-coding RNA (GBAR_LNC001795)". The record is from RNAcentral. Lineage: Eukaryota; Viridiplantae; Streptophyta; Magnoliopsida; Malvales; Malvaceae.